AUGGCAAAAAAGAAAGCAUGCAUUCCCCUUCUAUGUCUUACAUCUAUAGUCUUUUUGCCCUGGUGCAUCUCUUUUACAUUUCAGAAAAGUCUGGAAUCUUGGAUUACUAAUUGGUGGAAUAUGAAAGAAUCCGAAAUUGUCUUGAAUACUAUUCAAGAAAAAAGUAUUUUAAAGAAAUUGCUAGAGUUCGAGGAACUGUUCCUCUUGGAUGAAAUGCUAAAGGAAUACCCGGAAACACGUUUACAAAACCUUCGUAUCGAAAUCUACAAAGAGACCAUCCAAUUGAUCGAGACGAACAACCUAGAUCGUAUCCAUACGAUUUUCCAUUUCUGUACAAAUAUAAUCUGUUUCCUUAUUCUAAGUGGUUAUUCUAUUCGAGGUAAUCAAGAACUCAUUAUUCUUAACUCUUGGGUUCAAGAAUUUCUAUAUAA
Molecule: non-coding RNA, 431 nt
Organism: Vicia faba (fava bean)
Lineage: Eukaryota; Viridiplantae; Streptophyta; Magnoliopsida; Fabales; Fabaceae
Source: the annotation of a GenBank genome assembly